CGAUUGUUAGGGUUUUUAAGAUAUCUCAAGAUCCGCAAUGAAUUUGUGGUUGAAAAUUAUUGUGAACGUUAAUAAGAAUAUAUCAGUACCUCAUGUAAAUUUUGAGUUUGUUUGGACGGUCGGAUUAGGAGAUAUGAGGUGUUGAAGUUCGGAAAAAUCUCCAUACAAGAAUAUACAAGAUUUUAGAGGAUUUUAUCAUAUUUUGGGUGUUGUUGGUUACUUGAGGCUUGUGUAUUUGGUGUAAUUGCUCAAAAAGAGAAAAUUUAUAUAUAA
RNAcentral lists this long non-coding RNA (273 nucleotides) under Physcomitrium patens. RNAcentral's name for it is "long non-coding RNA (PPAT_LNC006723)". Lineage: Eukaryota; Viridiplantae; Streptophyta; Bryopsida; Funariales; Funariaceae. The record is from RNAcentral.